This 1416-nucleotide long non-coding RNA is filed under the name Gadus morhua (Atlantic cod). Its description in RNAcentral is "lncRNA (ENSGMOG00000029368.1)". Lineage: Eukaryota; Metazoa; Chordata; Actinopteri; Gadiformes; Gadidae. The record is from RNAcentral.
CCAUGGGGAGGAAAUAUUCACCGGCCUACGCGGACAUUUAUCUGGCCGACUGGGAGGAAUCUGCAUUUCUUAAAUGCGCGUCACGCCCCUUAAUUUAUUUCCGCUAUCUAGAUGAUAUCUUUGGACUCUUGGACAAAUCCGAAACGGAAUUCAACCACUUUAGGCGUAUCCUCAACUCACACCACCCCCGUAUCAACCUCAAACACACUCUCCAUCUUCAGCAGGUCCCCUUCCUUGACACGAUAGUUUUUUUCACAGAGACGAAGGAUGGACACAAAACAUUAGCAACCAAGGUUUAUUUUAAAGACACUGACAGGCAUUCCUUAUUAUUUAACACCAGCUACCAUCCCCGGCAUACUUUCAGCUCCAUCAUCAAGUCACAACUAAUCAGUUUCCACCGCAUCUGCUCUCUACCUCAUCACGUAGAGGAGGCCACCAGGACCCUUUUCAAGGCCCUUAGACCCCGCGGCUAUUCCAAACGUUUUCUUCUGACUAUUAAAGGGGAAGUGACCGCCCUCUUCCAGCCAGGCCGGCCCGUUCUCCCUGGAAAAAAGAACACGGAACAUAGGUUAAUUCCAUUCAUUACAACAUUCUCGCGACAACUAGGCCCCCUCAAGCAAGCUAUAAAACAACAUUUUAAUUCUGCCAAACCUCAAACCGCCCCACUCGCUUCUUUUAAAAUUUUAAUGUCAUACCGCCGUAAUAAAAAUCUGCAGGACAUGCUAGUCCAUACGGCACUCAACAAGGCAAUACGCACAACCUUCGACCCCUAUUUUACUAACCUGAAGUACAUCUUCAACUGUCGAGCCGGUGCCCCCAUCUCGCAGACCUUCACACUACUCUCCUGCAAUGUCGUCUACGCCAUCCAGUGCAAACUAUGCAGGAUCAUCUAUGUGGGCGAAACGGGAGCUACUAUUAAACAGAGGUUAUACCAACACAUUUACCAUAUUCAGAAAGGAACAAACGAUAAACGGCUGUAUACUCACUUCAUCUCACAUCAUAUCAACGACUUUUCAUUGUCCGGUCUAGAGACCAAUGUCGGUUGGUCCCUGGUCCAGUGGAGAGCUGCUGAGAGAAGGUGGAUCUUUAGGCUUUCCUCCACAGCCCCGUUUGGCCUAAAUGAUGAUCAUCAUGUGUGUGUGUUUUUACUCUUGCCCCCCCCCCACCCUAGCCCCAGGGCCCCCCCUCCGUCCCCCCAUUUUUUAUUUUUCAUAACAUGUAUGUGUGUUCAUUCUGCCCCCCCACCCCAGCCCCAGGCCCCCCCCUACGUCCCCCUAUUUUUUAUUUUUCAUAUAUAUAUAUAUGUAUAUUAUUAUUAAUAACAAUAUUAUAUUAAUAUGAUCUUCCACUGCACCCACUGUUAUUAUUUGGUAUUUUUUGUUAUAUGUCCCGUGCCCCCCUUCCCUGUCAUCCUUU